This 1035-nucleotide transfer RNA is filed under the name Proasellus margalefi. Its description in RNAcentral is "transfert RNA-M(ATG)". The record is from RNAcentral. Lineage: Eukaryota; Metazoa; Arthropoda; Malacostraca; Isopoda; Asellidae.
UUAAAGAUAAGCUAAUAUAAGCUGACGGGUUCAUACCCCGCCCAUGAGAGAUCUCUCUUUAAAAUUUACAACAAGAGGUUAAAUUAUUUGUUUAUGUCGACUUUACUAUUAGGCAUUGUUAUUAUACUAUCCAGAAAAACUUGGUUUAGGGUGUGGCUUGGACUGGAGAUCAACCUACUUUCCUUUUUACCUAUUAUCCUAUUCUCAACCCCCUCGGGGAGAGAGGGGGGUCUGAAGUACUUUCUAAUCCAAGCCUUGGGCUCACUACUCAUCUUGCAGACAAGGGUCUCCUGGCCCCUGGCCCCCUCCCCCCAUCUCUUCUUUACCCUGCCUAUUAUUCUUAAACUAGGGGCGGCACCAUUACAUUUCUGGCUGCCAGAGGUUACAAAGACCCUGCCAUGGCGCGCCAAUAUAAUCCUACUAACCUUACAAAAAACAGGCCCCCUAUACCUUCUAGCGUCGGUCAGAUUAACCCACAAGCUACCCAUCCUGAUUGCCAGGGUCUUUUCAACAGUUGUCGGCUCACUAGGGGGGCUUAAUGAGCUAGACCUCCGUAAACUUAUGGCUUUUUCCUCAAUUAGCCAUAUAGGCUGGAUAUUUGUAGGGAUGGCUCUAACCCAGACCCACUGGGUGUUGUACUUCUCUACUUAUAUUAUUACAUCGUUGACCCUAAUCACUAUAUUAGAAAAAAUAAAUAUUUUUUCACUUGUCCAACUCUCCCCCGCCGGUAAAAACGGCUUAUUAUUUAUACUAUUACUACUAUCGCUGGGGGGCUUCCCCCCUCUCCUAGGGUUUGCCCCUAAAUGGGCAAUCUUACUAAGGUCCACUGGCGUGUCCCUGCCCCUCUCGAUCUUACUGGUGGUGACAAGAACGAUUACACUUUAUUACUAUAUCCGGGCCGGCCUAAUAACUCUAACUCUAAAUAGCGCAAGUUUUAAAGUGAACCUAUUGGCUAAUAAUACUCAGACGCUCUUAAUUUUAAUAAACACGGUGGGGGGAGGUUUGUACAUAUUUAUAUGGAGAAGGCUCGCGCUC